Molecule: long non-coding RNA, 271 nt
Filed under: Marmota monax (woodchuck)
Lineage: Eukaryota; Metazoa; Chordata; Mammalia; Rodentia; Sciuridae
Source: RNAcentral
CAUUCUUGGAGAGCUCUGGUGGACGUCACGCUCAAGACACCUGAAAUCUCAAUUUCCCUCUUUGCUCUUCAAGACGGAUAAGACCCGAAGCAUCCGGGACAGGAGGACGCCUCACCCAGCGCUGCAAUAAAGCCGCACCGGCGCCCGGGUGGUCACACCAGGACUGGGGUGACCACGGUACACGGCUCCCUCAGGGCGUGCGAACAGGACCGCAGACUUGCACGCCUGGAUUCUAGCCGCGGGCGGGGAAAGCAGAGGAACAGAAGUGCGU